Arachis ipaensis is the source of this 801-nucleotide non-coding RNA. The record is from RefSeq and is a predicted model, not a curated record. NCBI's taxonomy places the organism in Eukaryota, Viridiplantae, Streptophyta, Magnoliopsida, Fabales, Fabaceae.
UCUGACAUUAGUACCCAGAAAUUAGAAUAUGUCCUCACUCUUUACUCCCCAGUCUUCACCUUCAUGUUUGAUUCCUAAUCCCUAAUUUCCUAAUUGAGUGACAACAGUAACGAACAUUUCUAAUUCACAAUCUUGCAUCUUUCACAAACAUCAAUAGAAAUUAUAAUUCGAGAAUGAAGGCACUAGGAUGGUGGCUGUUAGCAGUUGGCACUCUCCGACUUGCUUCUGUUUGGUUUGGUUUCUUCAACAUUUGGGCCCUCCGCCUUGGCGUCUUCUCCAACACCACCAUGACUGAAGUUCAUGGACGCACAUUUGGAACUUGGACACUGUUGACCUGCACACUUUGCUAUAUCUGCGCAUUCAACCUUGACAAUAAGCCCAUUUACCUGGCUACUUUCUUAUCAUUUAUCUAUGCUCUUGGUCACUUUGUCACUGAAUACUUUAUUUAUCAAACAAUGCAGAUUCAAAAUCUGUCUGCUGUUGCCUUUUUUGCAGGAACAUCGAUUAUGUGGAUGCUAUUGCAAUGGAAUUCGCAUGGGAGAGUGCACUUGAAGCAUUCUUAGAAAGGAUUAGUGAGCAAAGAGACAAGUCAAGUGAGAUCAUGUGAUUUUUAAGGUUGUUUUGAAUUCUUUGAUGUAUUGUUAGUUAUGAGCAGUAAUGUUAGUUUCACAAUUACUGCUGCUCUCAACAAAAUACAUCAUAAAUUAAUUGGAAAGAGUUUAUUUACUUUGAAAAGACUUGAGAAUGACUCAAAUAAAUCAGGCAAAUCCUCUAUUCAAUGAUUUCAAUCUUCCAACCUAA